GGGGUCUCUGAACCCUAGAGAAGGGCUUCUCCUUCGGGAGCAGAGUGACAGGUGGUGCAUGGUUGUCGUCAGCUCGUGUCGUGAGAUGUUGGGUUAAGUCCCGCAACGAGCGCAACCCUUGAUCUUAGUUGCCAUCAUUAAGUUGGGCACUCUAAGGUGACUGCCGGUGACAAACCGGAGGAAGGUGGGGAUGACGUCAAAUCAUCAUGCCCCUUAUGACCUGGGCUACACACGUGCUACAAUGGACGGUACAAAGAGCUGCAAGACCGCGAGGUGGAGCUAAUCUCAUAAAACCGUUCUCAGUUCGGAUUGUAGGCUGCAACUCGCCUACAUGAAGCUGGAAUCGCUAGUAAUCGCGGAUCAGCAUGCCGCGGUGAAUACGUUCCCGGGUCUUGUACCACACGCCAA
This 408-nucleotide ribosomal RNA is filed under the name bacterium. Its description in RNAcentral is "bacterial SSU rRNA". It matches the Rfam family "Bacterial small subunit ribosomal RNA", at positions 983 to 1386 of the family's 1533-position model. The record is from RNAcentral.